Rosa rugosa (rugosa rose) is the source of this 779-nucleotide long non-coding RNA. RefSeq lists it as uncharacterized. The record is from RefSeq and is a predicted model, not a curated record. NCBI's taxonomy places the organism in Eukaryota, Viridiplantae, Streptophyta, Magnoliopsida, Rosales, Rosaceae. The transcript has 4 exons.
GUCCUCGCUAUAUGUCUCUCUCUGGACAUACCCAAGACCAAGCAUCUCUUUCUGUUUACAACUUUACACCGACCUCCGUUGUUACACCCAAAUCGUUGAUCACAAUCGUGCCACUACCGAUUCUUCCAUGUCUUCCACUGCUGUAUAAGUGACAUUAAAAGAGUUUGACUCUAUCAAAGUUCAAACACUGAGAUGCAAAGGAGGAGACCACGAAUCAAUUUGUGUUUGUUUUGGAAAAGGUUUAAAACAGAACAGCAGCUAAAGUGCCAAAGCUCCAGAGUUUAAACUCAAGGGGAAACGUUCUAGACUGUUAGAGAGGUACAGUUAAGAGUUUGGAAGACAGGUUGUGCUAUUUAGACUUUUGUUGUGCUAUCUACAACAACUCAGCUGAAAUUUCAAAGGAGCUAUCAUCUGUUGCAAAUGAUGAAUCCGACUUUGUAGACACAUUUGAGGAGCUUAUGUAAAAUAGUUGGUCGCCACUACAAGCCUAAACCAUUUGUCAAGCCUAACCAUGUUUGCAAUAUGUACAUAAACACCUACUAUGGAUAGCAUAUCUAACUUCGAAAUCUUAAACCAUUUGUCAAGCCUAACCAUGUUUGCAAUAUGUACAUAAACACCUACUAUGGAUAGCAUAUCUAACUUCGAAAUCUGGCUAAGUUACUAGAUUUUUGAACGUGUAAAAUAAUAUAUAAGAUAUAAUGUAGUAAUGUAAUAUAAACAAAUGUUACUAAAUUCAGUAGCAUUGAAUCGAACGACAUUGAUCAUGUUCCCGCAGCAUC